GGGCUAAACCAUUGUAUACACAGGAAAAUGCACACAUGAUUUUGUCUCUAUCAAAAAUCAACGUCUUAGAAUCAACUAGGACCAAAUUAGUUAUCCAUUCAGGAGUGCAAGGCCUUAUUCUUCAAUGAAGUUUGACUAGUCUCCCUAAGGGUCAAGCAAAAUCUAAUGCCUGAUUUUGAUUAAUGGUUGCAAAGUUUGUAGUUAACUUGACCCAUUGUUGUAAUCUUAUUCUUUUUGUAUUUUUUGUUUCCUUUUUUGUUUCUUGAUCUACUGCAGUUUCUGGUUCUUUUGUAAACUCUAGACUACUGUCUGCCCUUUUACAAUAAAUUUUACUGUAGGGGCGCAAGCCCCUCCGGAUCCUUCAAAAAAACCAGGAUCAAAUCCAAUGACGGUAGAUAAAAAUUUAAAGCCUGCAUCAAACUCUCGCCCUCUCGCGCUCCUUCUCCCUCACGCCACCCCUCAGGUGGCCGCCCCUCAUGAUCGACCCACCCCGCAGGAUGCUCCUCAUUAUCGACAAAACACUAGCCGAAGCUGCUUCCCAUGC
This 544-nucleotide long non-coding RNA is filed under the name Sorghum bicolor (sorghum). Its description in RNAcentral is "long non-coding RNA (SBIC_LNC009784)". The record is from RNAcentral. Lineage: Eukaryota; Viridiplantae; Streptophyta; Magnoliopsida; Poales; Poaceae.